UUUAACAUGAGAGUUUGAUCCUGGCUCAGGAUGAACGCUGGCGGCGUGCCUAAUACAUGCAAGUCGAACGCACAGCGAAAGGUGCUUGCACCUUUCAAGUGAGUGGCGAACGGGUGAGUAACACGUGAAUAACCUGCCUUAUAGUAGGGGAUAACAUUUGGAAACAGAUGCUAAUACCGUAUAAAACAACUUUUUGCAUAAAAGGUUGUUAAAAGGCGCUUCGGCGUCGCUAAAAGAUGGAUUCGCGCUGCAUUAGUUAGUUGGUGAGGUAAAGGCUCACCAAGACGAUGAUGCAUAGCCGAGUUGAGAGACUGAUCGGCCACAUUGGGACUGAGACACGGCCCAAACUCCUACGGGAGGCUGCAGUAGGGAAUCUUCCACAAUGGGCGCAAGCCUGAUGGAGCAACGCCGCGUGUGUGAUGAAGGCUUUCGGGUCGUAAAGCACUGUUGUAUGGGAAGAAUGGCUUAGGUAGGCAAUGACCUAAGAUUGACGGUACCAUACCAGAAAGGGACGGCUAAAUACGUGCCAGCAGCCGCGGUAAUACGUAUGUCCCGAGCGUUAUCCGGAUUUAUUGGGCGUAAAGCGAGCGCAGACGGUUGGUUAAGUCUGAAGUGAAAGCCCACAGCUCAACUGUGGAAUUGCUUUGGAAACUGGCUAACUUGAGUGCAGUAGAGGUAAGUGGAACUCCAUGUGUAGCGGUGGAAUGCGUAGAUAUAUGGAAGAACACCAGUGGCGAAGGCGGCUUACUGGACUGUAACUGACGUUGAGGCUCGAAAGUGUGGGUAGCAAACAGGAUUAGAUACCCUGGUAGUCCACACCGUAAACGAUGAAUACUAGGUGUUAGGAGGUUUCCGCCUCUUAGUGCCGCAGCAAACGCAUUAAGUAUUCCGCCUGGGGAGUACGACCGCAAGGUUGAAACUCAAAGGAAUUGACGGGGACCCGCACAAGCGGUGGAGCAUGUGGUUUAAUUCGAAGCAACGCGAAGAACCUUACCAGGUCUUGACAUCCUUUGAAGAUGUUAGAGAUAACAUUGUGCUCUUCGGAGCCAAAGUGACAGGUGGUGCAUGGUCGUCGUCAGCUCGUGUCGUGAGAUGUUGGGUUAAGUCCCGCAACGAGCGCAACCCUUAUUGUUAGUUGCCAGCAUUUAGUUGGGCACUCUAGCGAGACUGCCGGUGACAAACCGGAGGAAGGCGGGGACGACGUCAGAUCAUCAUGCCCCUUAUGACCUGGGCUACACACGUGCUACAAUGGCGUAUACAACGAGUCGCAAACCCGCGAGGGCAAGCUAAUCUCUUAAAGUACGUCUCAGUUCGGAUUGUAGUCUGCAACUCGACUACAUGAAGUCGGAAUCGCUAGUAAUCGCGGAUCAGCAUGCCGCGGUGAAUACGUUCCCGGGUCUUGUACACACCGCCCGUCACACCAUGGGAGUUUGUAAUGCCCAAAGCCGGUGGCCUAACCUUUUGGAGGGAGCCGUCUAAGGCAGGACAGAUGACUGGGGUGAAGUCGUAACAAGGUAGCCGUAGGAGAACCUGCGGCUGGAUCACCUCCUUUCU
Molecule: ribosomal RNA, 1554 nt
Filed under: Leuconostocaceae bacterium R-53105
Lineage: Bacteria; Bacillati; Bacillota; Bacilli; Lactobacillales; Lactobacillaceae
Description: bacterial SSU rRNA
Rfam family: Bacterial small subunit ribosomal RNA
Source: RNAcentral